This 381-nucleotide long non-coding RNA is filed under the name Homo sapiens (human). Its description in RNAcentral is "HSALNT0012160". The record is from RNAcentral. Lineage: Eukaryota; Metazoa; Chordata; Mammalia; Primates; Hominidae.
CAAGCACUUGCUUUUUUAUUUUAAUAUGAAAUGCAGAAUACACAUUUUUGGAUCCAGGAAGUGUUACUUACGUGCCUGUAACAAUGUAAUUUUAGGCCAGGUGCAGUGGCUCAUGCCUACAGUCCUAGCACUUUGGAAGGUUGAGGGAGGAUGAUCGCUUAAGUUCAGUUGUUGAAAUGCAGAAUACACAUUUUUGGAUCCAGGAAGUGUUACUUACGUGCCUGUAACAAUGUAAUUUUAGGCCAGGUGCAGUGGCUCAUGCCUACAGUCCUAGCACUUUGGAAGGUUGAGGGAGGAUGAUCGCUUAAGCUCAGUUGUUCAAGGCUAUGUACUAAAAAUAAAACUAGCCAGGCAUGGUGGUACACGCCUGUAGUCCCAGCU